CCUACGGGCGACAGCAGUGAGGAAUAUUGGUCAAUGGGCGCGAGCCUGAACCAGCCAAGUAGCGUGAAGGAUGACUGCCCUACGGGUUGUAAACUUCUUUUAUAAAGGAAUAAAGUGAGGCACGUGUGCCUUUUUGUAUGUACUUUAUGAAUAAGGAUCGGCUAACUCCGUGCCAGCAGCCGCGGUAAUACGGAGGAUCCGAGCGUUAUCCGGAUUUAUUGGGUUUAAAGGGAGCGUAGAUGGGUUGUUAAGUCAGUUGUGAAAGUUUGCGGCUCAACCGUGAAAUUGCAAUUGAUACUGGCAGGCUUGAGUACAGUUGAGGUAGGCGGAAUUCGUGGUGUAGCGGUGAAAUGCUUAGAUAUCACGAAGAACACCGAUUGCGAAGGCAGCUUACUAAACUGCAACUGACAUUGAGGCUCGAAGGUGUGGGUAUCAAACAGGAUUAGAUACCCUUGUAGUC
This 460-nucleotide ribosomal RNA is filed under the name uncultured bacterium. Its description in RNAcentral is "partial 16S ribosomal RNA". It matches the Rfam family "Bacterial small subunit ribosomal RNA", at positions 338 to 795 of the family's 1533-position model. The record is from RNAcentral.